RNAcentral lists this ribosomal RNA (484 nucleotides) under uncultured bacterium. Its description in RNAcentral is "bacterial SSU rRNA". It matches the Rfam family "Bacterial small subunit ribosomal RNA", at positions 28 to 514 of the family's 1533-position model. The record is from RNAcentral.
GAUGAACGCUAGCGGGAGGCCUAAUACAUGCAAGUCGAGCGGUAACUUUCUUCGGGAAGCUAGAGCGGCGCACGGGUGAGUAACGCGUACAUGACCUGCCUUUAAGACCGGGAUAGCCCUGGGAAACUGGGAUUAAUACCGGAUGUGAUAAUAGAUAUAAAAGAUUUAUUAUUAAAGUUACGGCGCUUAGAGAUGGAUGUGCGUCUGAUUAGCUAGUUGGUAGGGUAACGGCCUACCAAGGCUACGAUCAGUAGGGGCGUGAGAGCGUGGCCCCCCACACGGGUACUGAGACACGGACCCGACUCCUACGGGAGGCAGCAGUAAGGAAUAUUGGUCAAUGGACGAAAGUCUGAACCAGCCAUCCCGCGUGCAGGAUGAAGGUCCUAUGGAUUGUAAACUGCUUUUAGCAGAGAAGAAAAGCAAUCCUUUUAAGGGUGUCUGACGGUAUCUGCGGAAUAAGCACCGGCUAACUCCGUGCCAGCAG